CUGUGAUUUGUAGAAUGUUCCAUAGCUGUUGUUGAGGUAGUAGGAACUGUUUUCUCCAACGUUGUUAGACGGCGACGACGGUUGAAGGUGGUCCUCCGGUGGGUAUGACGAGAGCUAAUACUCGGUCCUCUUCCAGUUUGGCGAAAUGUCACAUCUUUUUGAGUAUCAGACGAAAUUAAGCGUUUCGUCCUAACGUUCCAUCCUGCUGAUCCAGUUGUUCUAUCUGUGAAGUGGGGUCCUCUAUGUUUGAUUUUGUUGUAGUAAUGUCCAAGAAAAGGUGUUACUCUGUGACGAUGUCCAGAUAAGACUACUUGUUCCUUUUCACUUAUAUUCAAGUCAGAUUUGGCAAUACUGCUUCCUUCUCGUAGUAGACGUUGCUCAUGCAAGGGCAGAUUGAGAUUGGCAAUAGGUCCUUCUUUCGGAAUAGGUUUGUGAAUGCUAUUGAUU
This 447-nucleotide long non-coding RNA is filed under the name Mytilus galloprovincialis (Mediterranean mussel). The record is from RNAcentral. Lineage: Eukaryota; Metazoa; Mollusca; Bivalvia; Mytilida; Mytilidae.